AACAGAUCAUUUCACACUACGCCACUCUGCAUGGCUUUGUUUACAUCUCAACCAUUUAUAUACAUUGGUGGAGUUCCCCUUUAAGGCGCAUCUGUGCAUUCUGUGUGUUUUUAAAAAGUAAAUCUCAAUUGUAUCAAGUAAUUGAAUCACAUUGAAUUGUGGUGAAAUUUGACAUCUCAUGAAGCACUGAAUUGUUGCCUAAAGAAUCAUAAUCAAAAUGAAAUCAUGGGGAGGUCACAGUGAUUUAGUAUUGAAUAAAACAGUGUCUCACUGAGCACAGCAGGAUCCCAGCUCCAGCUUCAGCCUGGGUUGUUUCUCGCAGUCCUGGACUGUGUCCGGUAAAGGAAUGCCGCUGGUUUCUGGGAGCAACAAGCACAGCCCUGCCCCCAGGAUGGGUCCACUGCUGUAACAGAUCAUGGCUCCCAGAGAGACUCCACCCUUAGGAGCCACCACUGCAUUUACAAUGCAGCCCACCCGGUAACAUAGACUCACCAGGCCCACACACUUCUGCCUGCAAGACAGAGAUUUUUAGCAUGUAUGUACAAGCUGAUGAUCAAGUGAUUCUGAGAACAUGAAGUUCAGUUUACUGCUAACAGUUCAAAAGAAAAAUCAUUCCCUCCACAAAUGUCCAUUUGCAAAAUUAUUCAACCCCCAAAGUCAGUAUUUUGUGGCGCAACCUUUACAUUUUAUAACUAAAUGUUUCUGGCAGGUGCUUACAAGCUUCUGACAUCUCUCUAUUGGAAUUUUUGCCCAUUCCACAUGUGCAAAAGCUUCCAGCUCAUAAAUGUUACUUGGUUUACAUGCCACCACAGCUUUCUUUAAAUCCCACCAAAGACUUUCAGUGAGAUUUAAGUCCAGGGACUGAGAUGGCCACUAAACGACACUCCAGGAUCGAUCACUGAAUCAAGGUUUGGUUGACUUAGUAUGUUUGGGAUCACUGUCUUGCUGGAAAGUCCAAUGGUCACCAAGCUUCAAUUUACAUACUGAAGUCUUCACAUUCUUCUCCAAAAUGGCCUUGUACUUCAAAAAAUCCAUGAUGCCAGUCACACGGUCAAGACUGCCAGUUCCUGCAGCAGCAGAACAACCCCUCAACAGGACCGACCCACCUCCAUGCUUGACCAUGGGGAUGUUUUUUUUGUUAUAAUCUUUGCUUUUCUCACGCCAGACAUACCACUGAUCCACAGGUCCAAACAGAUUUAAUUUAGUUUCAUCACUUCAUAAAACUGUCUCCCAGAACUCCACAGGCCUGUCCAAAUUUCUUACUGCAUAUUCAGGUAAACUUUUUAUGUGCUUUUUGGUCAAGAGUGGAGUACAGUGAGGGUGUCCAGGCAUGAAGACUUGCUUGUGUAGUGUUUUUCUUAUCAUGUUCACUGAUACGUUUGUUCCUGUUUUCAUCAGGUCAUACUGCAAGUCUUUGGCAGUAAUAUGAGGGUUUUUCUCACUGUUCUGUUCAAAUGUCUGAUUCCUCUUGGUGAAAUUUUGCUCUUUCUUCCACAUUCAGUAGGGAACAGCUCUAUGCCGUAGAGGAGAGCAACACAGGUCGUCGCCUGCACACAAAGCUUUCCCAGCAGAGCGAGGGCCAUCACCAGAGCGGGUAUGUCUGAGGAGACAGCAUGAAGAGUUGUGAACAACUUGGAGAUGAGGAGAGAGAGCAAGCAGCCAACUCCGCUGAGCAGCAGACUUGCCAUGCUGAAGGAUCUACGACCCCAUCGUGCCAGCAGAAGUGGCAGGAAGAGUGAA
Molecule: long non-coding RNA, 1740 nt
Organism: Colossoma macropomum (tambaqui)
Lineage: Eukaryota; Metazoa; Chordata; Actinopteri; Characiformes; Serrasalmidae
Exons: 3
Source: RefSeq, a predicted model, not a curated record